GCCAAUAGAGGAGGAGGGGCCUAUAGAGGAGGAGGGGCCAAUAGAGGAGGAGGAGCCUGUAGAGGACGGGAGGGAGGUUGAAGAUGCCACAGAUGCAGCUGCUCUGGAGGAAACUCCUGAAGAAUUAGAGGAGGAUCAAUCAGUUCCAGAUAAAGAAGAGGUAGAGGAGGAAGCAGAGGAAGCAGCAGCAGCAGGAGACUUUGCUGAUACAGAGGAACAGCAUAAGGAUGAGCCCACAGCAGAAACGUAGAGGCAGCAGCGCUCACUGUGCUGAUGGAGCCGCUGAUGGAUCAGCGCAAUCUGAGCUCGCUCAGAGUCAUGCAUUUCUCCACAUACAGAGAAGUCUCCGUGACAACCCCACCCCCAUCUUCACUUCCUCUUUUUAAAAUGUUCCUUUAGUAAAAAUGUGAGACUUUGGAUAAAUUGUUUACUAAAACGGUAUUGCUGUUUGUUUUCCCCAUCCUGUAUUUUCAUCAUUCCUUUUUGCAUCCUUUUUGUUUGUUGUUUUUUCUUUUUUUUUUAAUUUAGCAACAUAAGUAGCUCAGAGUUUGGGGAAUGUUUGGGAUAUGUGUGCGUCUACCUGCAAUAUCAAACUAUUUCUUUCAUUUUUGAGUCUUUCUGUAUAAUAAUUUUGUUUUAGAGCCAGAUCCUGCUGCAGUUUCAUUAACGUUAGUGAUGAAGUCAAACUUUAAUCUGAAACGUUGGUCUGAAUGCAGCCAGAGCACAUUUCCUGUCUCCUGACUAGAACCUCAUUCUCUGUUCAUGCAGUCGGUCCAGUCGGCUCUGCUCCUUCUUUCAUGUAAAUGUUGAGGUCAGCUCUGGCCACUUCUGAUUCUAUGCAAAGGUGAGGCGGCAUUCACCUCACCACCACCACCCCCACACCUUCCUCUGCCCACUCCAGGCCAGAUGAAUGACCACUCCUGGAUGAGCCAUGUGCUAGGACCUGCACUCUGACAGAAAACUGUGUGUGCGUGUCUGUGUGUGUGUGAGAUUGAGUUGUCUGUUGAGCGUUUAUCUAAUCACUUCUUUCUGAGCCCAUGUAAUCAGGAUGUCUAUGUUUGAGACUUUACCUCUUCUUCCUCCUCUCAGUGUGACUGACUGACUAUUUGCUCUGUAAGUUCUGUUUCCCUGGUAUCAUCACCUGACCAGAAAACAAGUUGUCAGAAGUUUUAAAGUGAAGCUUCAGGUCCUGAAGUGUGAGCUCAAGCCAGCUGUGGAUUCAGGCUGCACUGAAGCAUUUUCACUCCAUGACAUGCAAUCGUUCUUCUUGUUGACUUACUUCUGACUCAUGGGGCGUCAAACAGAUCAGCCAUUAUGUUUUUGAGGAAACUUCAGCCAGGGGUGUCCCGAUACAACUUUAUCGGUUUUGGCAGAUACUGAUGUUAACCAGAUGCAAUGUCAGCACAAAUUAAACAUACUUUUAUUACUUAUUUUGUAGUGUGCAAUGUUUGAAAAGGCUUGAUCAAGUGAUUUUACUCCAAUAGCCAACAACAAAUAGGAGAACAACUGACCCGUUUAUCGUUAAAUGCGUCUGCCUGUGGAUGACGAUCUGGGCAGGCUAAAUGCUCAGAGUGCUAAAUAUCAGUGUGCUUCUAUCAGCAGGCCCAUAUAAUCAGUUUCUGAUACCGGAUCGGGACACCCUUAGCUUCAACUAGCUGUGAGUCGAAUUGUGUUGUUUAACUUCCCGGUUCCGUCUUAAAGGGAUAACUUUUAUUAUUCCAUCAUUUUCUUUUACCUUCGUGACAUUACAAACCUGAUGAAAUAUUUUCCUACACAUCCAACCAUGAUUGAUUUUAAUGUCUGUAUACAGAACUGUAUUCUGAAUACUGCAGAAGCUGGCUUGUAAACUGAGCAUCCAUCACUAAGCUUCUGGUGAAAUCCACUGACACACCACCAAUCAGAGACACCGAUGAAACGGUCCAGUCCCUGCAGCGCCGCAUUAGAAAGCAGCAGCUGGGCUUUGGUGUCUCUAACCCCUCACCUUGUGGGGGAUGUGUGCUAGCUGUGGUUUUGUCCUGUAA
This is a long non-coding RNA of Xiphophorus maculatus (southern platyfish), 2021 nucleotides long. RefSeq lists it as uncharacterized. The transcript is spliced from 4 exons. NCBI's taxonomy places the organism in Eukaryota, Metazoa, Chordata, Actinopteri, Cyprinodontiformes, Poeciliidae. The record is from RefSeq and is a predicted model, not a curated record.